GCCUUUUAUGGGGAGUUAGAGGAAAUCGUAGAGUUGUCGUACAAGGGCACGUACGGGGGUCAUAUUCACUUGUUCAAGUGCCGUUGGUUUGAUUCAGAAAAAGGAAUACGUGUUGACAAACAUGGAAUCAUCGAUAUUGACCUCCGUAGGUCUGCGUUCUCCAACGAACCAUUUGUUUUACCAACUCAAACAGUACAAGUAUACUACACUCCUAGUCCUGUUAGGAAAAGGGAUAGACCGCCUACAGAUUGGAAAG
Molecule: long non-coding RNA, 256 nt
Filed under: Panax ginseng (ginseng)
Lineage: Eukaryota; Viridiplantae; Streptophyta; Magnoliopsida; Apiales; Araliaceae
Description: long non-coding RNA (PGIN_LNC015136)
Source: RNAcentral